RNAcentral lists this ribosomal RNA (1884 nucleotides) under metagenome. Its description in RNAcentral is "bacterial LSU rRNA". It matches the Rfam family "Bacterial large subunit ribosomal RNA", at positions 3 to 1980 of the family's 2925-position model. The record is from RNAcentral.
UCAAGCGAAGAAGGGCGCAGGGCGAAUGCCUUGGCACUGGGAGCCGAAGAAAGACGUGAUAAGCUGCGAUAAGCUGCGGGGAGCUGCAAAUAAGCGUUGAUCCGCAGAUUUCUGAAUGAGGAAACUCACCUGGGUUCAUACCUGGGUACAAUGCACUGAACUUCAAAAUAGGUGCAUUGGGGGAACCGCCUGAACUGAAACAUCUAAGUAGGGCGAGGAAGAGACAUCAAACGAGAUUCCGUAAGUAGUGGCGAGCGAACGCGGAAGAGGGCAAACCGGAGGUAGAAAUACCUCCGGGGUACGGACUGCAGAAGGGACUUAAGUUGUUAGCCGAACGGCAUGGGAAGGCCGGUCAGAGAGUGUGAGAACCACGUAGGCGAAAACGGCGAGAGCCUGGCAGGAUCCAGAGUACGGCCGGACACGUGAAACCCGGUCGGAAUAUGGGGGGACCACCCUCCAACCCUAAAUACUACCCAGUGACCGAUAGCGUAUAGUACUGUGAAGGAAAGGUGAAAAGGACCCCGGGAGGGGAGUGAAAAAGAACCUGAAACCCUGUGCCUACAAGCACCUAGAGCACGUCAAAGUGUGAUAGGGUACUUUUUGUAGAACGGUCCGGCGAGCGAUUGUACGCAGCAAGGUUAAGGUCUUCAGGACUGGAGCCGAAGCGAAAGCAAGUUUGAAAAGGGCGUUGAGUUGCGUGCAAUGGGCCCGAAACCGGGUGACCUACCCAUGAUCAGGCUGAAGUGGAAGUAAAAUUCCAUGGAGGGCCGAACCGACCUCCGUUGAAAAGGCGGCGGAUGAAUUGUGGGUAGCGGAGAAAUUCCAAUCGAACCCGGAGAUAGCUGGUUCUCCCCGAAAUAGUUUUAGGACUAGCCUCAUUUUAGAUACCCGGAGGUAAAGCACUGAAUAGCCUAGCGGCCGAGAGGUUAGCGAAGCUUAUCAAACUCAGAAUGCCGGAGUAUUGGUGAAUGGGAGUCAGACAGUGUCAGAUAAAUGUCAUUGUCAAAAGGGAAACAGCCCAGAUCUACAGCUAAGGUCCCAAAGUCAGGUCAAGUGGAAAACGAUGUGAAGAUACGCAGACAACCAGGAUGUUGGCUCAGAAGCAGCCACUCAUUUAAAGAGUGCGUAAUAGCUCACUGGUCGAGCGUCUUUGCGCGGAGAAUUUAACGGGGCUAAACCUGACACCGAAGCUUAGGCAGCGUCGCAAGACGCUGGGUAGGGGAGCGUUGUAUACGCGGAGAAACAGUAGCGCAAGCGGCUGUGGAGUGUAUAGAAGUGAGAAUGCCGGAAUGAGUAGCGCGAAUGCAGUGAGAAUCUGCAUGGCCGAAAGCCUCAGGUUUUUGGAGGAAGGUUCGUCCGCUCCAAGUUAGUCGGGAGCUAAGGUGAGGCCGGAAGGCGUAGCCGAUGCACAGACGGUGGAGAUUCCGUCACCACCAAAAGAGUUAAGCAUGGGGACACAUCUGAAGUGUCGGAGCCGGGAGUUGGUUCCGGUAGAGAUCGAGGGAAAUAAGUACCGAAGUCCGGCAUGGAAGGUGGCGAGAAAAGCCAUGUGUAUUUCUGAGGUGCCCGUACCGCAAACCGACACAGGUAGGUAGGAAGAAGAUUCUAAGGCCAACGGGAGAAGGGUUGUUAAGGAACUCGGCAAAUUGACCCCGUAACUUCGGGAGAAGGGGUGCUGCAGAGAUGCAGCCGCAGGGAAACGGCCCAAGCAACUGUUUACCAAAAACACAGGUUUGUGCUAAAUCGAAAGAUGACGUAUACGAGCUGACGCCUGCCCGGUGCUGGAAGGUUAAGAGGAGAUGUGAGAGCAUUGAAUUGAAGCCCCAGUGAACGGCGGCCGUAACUAUAACGGUCCUAAGGUAGCGAAAUUCCUUGUCAGGUAAG